GAACAUGCUUGAGAUGCACGCGUGGUUGGAUAGGACAAUUAUGUGAAAAUAAGUGUGUCAGAGGAUGGUAUGGUCUUGAUUGUAAACAAAAAUGUUCUGGCCAUUGUAUAAAAAAUGAGGUCUGCAACCACGUGACCGGUCGUUGUGAAAAUGGAUGUGCUGACGGAUGGAAAGGAAUAAAUUGCCAAGAACCAUGUAAAGGUGGAAACUACGGCCCCUCUUGUAUAUAUAACUGCAGUGGUCACUGUCUCAAUAAUGUCUUCUGUAACAAACAAACUGGACACUGCGACACAGGGUGCAAACCGGGAUAUAUAGGGAAUUUGUGUUACGCAGCAUGCAGAUUUGGAUACUUCGGAA
Long non-coding RNA from Saccostrea echinata, 357 nucleotides. RefSeq lists it as uncharacterized. The transcript is spliced from 4 exons. The record is from RefSeq and is a predicted model, not a curated record. NCBI's taxonomy places the organism in Eukaryota, Metazoa, Mollusca, Bivalvia, Ostreida, Ostreidae.